UAAAAUCAUGAAUUUUUUACUCCCUAAGACACUUUAUCACUUUGAAAUUUCAUCCCAACACACUUUCUACAUAUGACAACCUUUGGAGCUAGUGAAUGUCAUUUAUGCCCUCAUGCAACAGAAAACGCAAAAACCAAACCGGUCCGAUUUAGUUGUUGUACCAACCCUCUUUUUAAUCAAUUCCCAACCCUAAUUUCUAAUUCAAAACUCACAGCCUCUCUCAACUCACCCCUUUGCGGCGAUUCUUUAAAACCUUAGAUUUUCUCUUGCAAACCACACAUAGGCUUUCUCCUUCCUGUUUCGCCUCCAAAUCACUGAAUCACACCAUCUUUGUCAUUCUUCUGUUCUUCAAGGUCAAGACAUGCAAGGUUUGUUUCAUCCUAAUCUACACAUUCUUUUGUCUGGAUCCAGUAUUAUAAGCUUCUAAUUGAUUUCUUCAAUAACUACACCAUCUUUGUCUGGGUUUCAUAUUCUCGAUUCAAAUCCAUAGAACACCGAUUUGUGUUCGUGGUUAUUUUUAUGAAUUUGGUUUACUUUUUCAUACCCAAAAAAUGAUUUCACGGUUUAUAGAUUUGCCAAAGUUAAUUUUUUUUCCGAUAUUUUCAGGUAACAACCACCUACUGGUACCCUAGUGGACGCCUCAACAUUUACUCAAAGCCAAACCUUCUAGCUUUCAUCCACCAUGUAAUUCUAGAUUUGUGGACGGAGUAGAAGUAAGAAAGAUUUAUGGACAUCCUUAUCAAACUAACCUAAUUCUUAAGCUUUCAUCUGCAAACUUUUUACUUUCUAUCCUCCAUGUCCAUUUUCACAAACCGACUUUUUGUGUUUUUUUUGUGUGGUUGAUACUUCUAACCCAUGUAAUAUGUUAAACCUAACUCUAGGUAUUUACUUUAGGCUUUGUAUUAUGUUAACGAUCAGCACCAACCUGAUUGCAUCGGGUUUAUUUUGAACAUUUUGUGGAUGCAAUAGAUUUGGAAAAGUGUAUGUGGAUGGAAUAGAUGCAAAAACGUUUUGUGGAGAGAAUAGAUGUAAGAAGUUUUUGUGGACGGAGUAGAAGUAAGCAAGAUUUGUGGAUGGAUUAGUCCGGCCACAAUAUAAUGGACG
RNAcentral lists this long non-coding RNA (1104 nucleotides) under Brassica napus (rape). Its description in RNAcentral is "long non-coding RNA (BNAP_LNC014608)". Lineage: Eukaryota; Viridiplantae; Streptophyta; Magnoliopsida; Brassicales; Brassicaceae. The record is from RNAcentral.